This 72-nucleotide transfer RNA is filed under the name Camelus bactrianus (Bactrian camel). It matches the Rfam family "tRNA". From Rfam's summary of the family: Transfer RNA (tRNA) molecules are approximately 80 nucleotides in length. Their secondary structure includes four short double-helical elements and three loops (D, anti-codon, and T loops). Further hydrogen bonds mediate the characteristic L-shaped molecular structure. tRNAs have two regions of fundamental functional importance: the anti-codon, which is responsible for specific mRNA codon recognition, and the 3' end, to which the tRNAs corresponding amino acid is attached (by aminoacyl-tRNA synthetases). tRNAs cope with the degeneracy of the genetic code in two manners: having more than one tRNA (with a specific anti-codon) for a particular amino acid; and 'wobble' base-pairing, i.e. permitting non-standard base-pairing at the 3rd anti-codon position. RNAcentral also lists the same sequence under 2 other names. Lineage: Eukaryota; Metazoa; Chordata; Mammalia; Artiodactyla; Camelidae. The record is from Rfam by way of RNAcentral.
GGGUGUGGAGCUCAGUGGUAGAGUGUGUGCUUAACAUGCAUGAGGUCCUGGAUUCAAUACCCAGUAUCUUCA